GACGAACGCUGGCGGCGUGCUUAACACAUGCAGGUCGAACGAUGAAGCCGGAGCUUGCUCUGGUGAAUUAGUGGCGAACGGGUGAGUAACACGUGAGUAACCUGCCCUUGACUCUGGGAUAACUGCUAGAAAUGGUAGCUAAUACCGGAUACGACCCUCGGAGGCAUCUCCAGGGGGUGGAAAGGGUUUCGGUCAAGGAUGGACUCGCGGCCUAUCAGCUAGUUGGUGAGGUAACGGCUCACCAAGGCGACGACGGGUAGCCGGCCUGAGAGGGUGACCGGCCACACUGGGACUGAGACACGGCCCAGACUCCUACGGGAGGCAGCAGUGGGGAAUAUUGCACAAUGGGCGCAAGCCUGAUGCAGCAACGCCGCGUGAGGGAUGACGGCCUUCGGGUUGUAAACCUCUUUUAGUAGGGAAGAAGCGAAAGUGACGGUACCUGCAGAAAAAGCACCGGCUAACUACGUGCCAGCCGCCGCCGUAA
This 484-nucleotide ribosomal RNA is filed under the name uncultured bacterium. RNAcentral describes it as "partial 16S ribosomal RNA". It matches the Rfam family "Bacterial small subunit ribosomal RNA", at positions 28 to 523 of the family's 1533-position model. The record is from RNAcentral.